RNAcentral lists this ribosomal RNA (531 nucleotides) under uncultured bacterium. Its description in RNAcentral is "bacterial SSU rRNA". It matches the Rfam family "Bacterial small subunit ribosomal RNA", at positions 8 to 526 of the family's 1533-position model. The record is from RNAcentral.
AGAGUUUGAUCCUGGCUCAGGACGAACGCUGGCGGCGCGCUUAACACAUGCAAGUCGAGCGAGAACCAGGCCUUCGGGCCUGGGGAAAGCGGCGAACGGGUGAGUAACACGUGGGUAACCCACCCUUGGUACCGGGAUAGCCCGGGGAAACCCGGAUUAAUACCGGAUGGCCCAACAGCUCUUCGGGGCGGUUGGAAAAGGUAGCUUCGGCCUCCGACCAAGGACGGGCCCGCGGCGGAUUAGCUUGUUGGUGGGGUAACGGCCCACCAAGGCGACGAUCCGUAGCUGGUCUGAGAGGACGAUCAGCCACACUGGGACUGAGACACGGCCCAGACUCCUACGGGAGGCAGCAGUGGGGAAUCUUGCGCAAUGGGCGAAAGCCUGACGCAGCGACGCCGCGUGGGGGAAGAAGGCUUUCGGGUUGUAAACCCCUUUCAGGAGGGACGAAGCCACUCGGGUGAAUAGCCCAGAGGGUGACGGUACCUCCAGAAGAAGCCCCGGCUAACUACGUGCCAGCAGCCGCGGUAAUAC